AUGAGAGAUUAAAAGCUUCAACCUUGAGUGAUCACAGUUUUUGAGAAUCACGAGGAGGCAUUAAAGAAGAGGAAGAGUGUCCCGAGGGAGAUGAGCUGAAGGUGAUGCAAGGAUGUCUAGACCAGAAAGUGUGUUGUUGUCUACAACACAGAGUGCAAAUGAAGAGCAGGAGCUCAUUCCCAAGAUAAGAGCCACCAAAGGACCCCAGGGCUCUGAAAUCAGGCUGCACCAUUACAACCUACUCCUUCAGCUGUGCAGAUGGAAGAAGGUUAAGAAAGGAACUGCCAACCACAAUGUGCAAACUGUCCAGGCUUUUGUUGUUUCUGUGUUGUUGUAAAAUGGCUAGAGAUGGCUAUGAGACUGAUGCAGGAAACUUGCUCACUCCACAUCUGCAUCUACCCCCAUUGCCUUGAUCUGUGCAUCCCAGAUGUUCUGGGACAAUGGCUCACGCAAGACAGAGUACAAAGAAGCUUCUGGUUUUUCUCGGCUCUGCCAGACUGUAUGAAAUAGCUGAUUUUGACUGGUAGAGGAGGACUUGGAAGACACAUGGAAAAGGACAGGAUCAAAAUCCAGAGGAAGGACCAGAAUUGCAGAUGCCACAUAAUGCCAGUGAGACAUCUUUCUGCAGUCCAGGUUGUUGCCCUCUUUUGACACGCCUUUGCCUUGAAUCCAAAUCUAGAAGUCAGCAGUAUGUGGUUGAAUUGCUACCCUGGUUGAGUGGGAGACUUUUAGGCAAGCCCCUGCUGUCUUCUUUUUGUCCUUUCAUUUUGGAGAAGGGAGUAGAGCUGAGUGAAGGCUGUUGUGAAGAGCAAGUCAUCUGUGCCACCAUCGCCAGAUGGGAUGCGGGAACAUAGGCAAUUUAUAAAACCUCUGCAGCAGCUUCCACGACCACAAGGGAUGAUACUGGUGCAAUUUAGCAUUGUUAAACUCAAGCAUUCACCUCAUGCCAAUGUGUGUAGCUGUGCUCUCUCACUUGAGCUUGUUCAUUUGGAAAUACAGAAGGAUGAGGCAUUAUAUCUUUAAAUAAAAUAUUCCC
Molecule: non-coding RNA, 1036 nt
Organism: Castor canadensis (American beaver)
Lineage: Eukaryota; Metazoa; Chordata; Mammalia; Rodentia; Castoridae
Source: RefSeq, a predicted model, not a curated record